This 439-nucleotide ribosomal RNA is filed under the name uncultured bacterium. Its description in RNAcentral is "partial 16S ribosomal RNA". It matches the Rfam family "Bacterial small subunit ribosomal RNA", at positions 339 to 795 of the family's 1533-position model. The record is from RNAcentral.
CUACGGGUGGCUGCAGUGGGGAAUAUUGGGCAAUGGGCGAAAGCCUGACCCAGCAACGCCGCGUGAAGGAAGAAGGUUUUCGGAUCGUAAACUUCUAUCCCGGGUGAAGAUAAUGACGGUAGCCCGGAAGGAAGCCCCGGCUAACUACGUGCCAGCAGCCGCGGUAAUACGUAGGGGGCAAGCGUUGUCCGGAAUGAUUGGGCGUAAAGGGCGCGUAGGCGGCCUUUUAAGUCCGGUGUGAAAGUCCUGCUUUUAAGGUGGGAAUUGCAUUGGAAACUGGAAGGCUUGAGUGCAGGAGAGGUAAGUGGAAUUCCCGGUGUAGCGGUGAAAUGCGUAGAGAUCGGGAGGAACACCAGUGGCGAAGGCGACUUACUGGACUGUAACUGACGCUGAGGCGCGAAAGUGUGGGGAGCAAACAGGAUUAGAUACCCUAGUAGUC